GUUGAACGCUGGCGGCGUGCCUAAUACAUGCAAGUCGAGCGAAUAGACGAGGCUUUCGCCUCUCUGCCGCUAGCGGCGGACGGGUGAGUCAUACGAGGAUAACUGAUCGAUAAGACUGGGGUAACUUCGGGAACCCUGAUCCAAUACCGGUUCAGAUAUUGAACCGCAUGGUUCUUUAGAGAUCGCGCUAUCUGCUGUGCCUUGUACAUAUUUCCUCGCCGCAUUAGCUAGUUGGUACGGUAACGGCUUACCAAGGCAACGAUGCGUAGCCGACCUGAGAGGAUGAUCGGCCACACUGGAACUGAGACACGGUCCAGACUCCUACGGGAGGCAGCAGUGGGGAAUAUUCGACAAUGGGCGAAAGCCUGACGGAGCCACGCCGCGUGAGUGAUGAAGGUCUUCGGAUCGUAAAGCACUGUUAUUAGGGAAGAACAAAAGUAUAAGUAAAUAUGCACGUCUUGACGGUACCUAAUCAGAAAGCAACGGCUAACUACGUG
This 497-nucleotide ribosomal RNA is filed under the name uncultured bacterium. Its description in RNAcentral is "partial 16S ribosomal RNA". It matches the Rfam family "Bacterial small subunit ribosomal RNA", at positions 28 to 507 of the family's 1533-position model. The record is from RNAcentral.